CCCGCUGAACUUAAGCAUAUCAGUAAGCGGAGGAAAAGAAACUAACAAGGAUUCCCGUAGUAACGGCGAGUGAAGUGGGAAUAGCUCAAAUUUAAAAUCUGGCCUUUGGCCCGAAUUGUAGUCUAAAGAGGUACUAUCUUGAUUAUAGUGUGUGCACAAGUGUCCUGGAAUGGGCCAUCACAGAGGGUGAGAAUCCCGUUUGGGUACACACAUAUUAAUCAUCUACGAGGUACUCUCUAAGAGUCGAGUUGUUUGGGAAUGCAGCUCAAAAUGGGUGGUAAACUUCAUCCAAGGCUAAAUAUUGGCAAGAGACCGAUAGCGAACAAGUACCGUGAGGGAAAGAUGAAAAGCACCUUGAAAAGGGAGUUAAACAGUACGUGAAAUUGUUGAAAGGGAAACGUUUCAAGUCAGUCGCGUUGGCUGGUAAUCAACCUUUGCAAUCUUGCUGGGCUUACUUUCCAGUUGACGGGUCAGCAUCAAUUUUGACUGUCAGAUAAAGGCGUGGGGAAUGUGGCAUCUUCGGAUGUGUUAUAGCCCCUCGUCAGAUGUGAUGGUUGGGAUUGAGGAACUCAGCAUGCCUUUACUGGUCGGGGCCUACAAGCCCACGUAACAUGCUCAGGAUGCUGGCAUAAUGGCUUGAACCGACCCGUCUUGAAACACGG
This 662-nucleotide ribosomal RNA is filed under the name uncultured fungus. RNAcentral's name for it is "eukaryotic LSU rRNA". It matches the Rfam family "Eukaryotic large subunit ribosomal RNA", at positions 24 to 664 of the family's 3401-position model. Lineage: Eukaryota; Fungi. The record is from RNAcentral.